CCAAUAGCGUAUAUUAAAGUUGUUGCAGUUAAAAAGCUCGUAGUUGAAUUUCGGGGUCAGUAGAUUGGUCGUGCCACUGGUAUGUACUGGUCUUACUGGCUCCUCCUUCCUGAUGAACCGUAAUGCCAUUAAUUUGGUGUUGCGGGGAGACUGGACUGUUACUUUGAAAAAAUUAGAGUGUUUAAAGCAGGCUAACGCUUGAAUACAUUAGCAUGGAAUAAUGAAAUAGGACGUUCGAUCUUAUUUUGUUGGUUUCUAAGAUUGACGUAAUGAUUAAUAGGGAUAGUUGGGGGCAUUAGUAUUCAAUUGUCAGAGGUGAAAUUCUUGGAUUUAUUGAAGACUAACUACUGCGAAAGCAUUUGCCAAGGAUGUUUUCAUUAAUCAAGAACGAAAGUUAGGGGAUCGAAGACGAUCAGAUACCGUCGUAGUCUUAACCAUAAACUAUGCCGACUAGGGAUCGGAUGAUGUUAAUUUUUUAAUGACUCAUUCGGCGCCUUACG
Molecule: ribosomal RNA, 500 nt
Filed under: uncultured Glomeromycotina
Lineage: Eukaryota; Fungi; Glomeromycota
Description: partial small subunit ribosomal RNA
Rfam family: Eukaryotic small subunit ribosomal RNA
Source: RNAcentral